Symphalangus syndactylus (siamang) is the source of this 3323-nucleotide long non-coding RNA. RefSeq lists it as uncharacterized. NCBI's taxonomy places the organism in Eukaryota, Metazoa, Chordata, Mammalia, Primates, Hylobatidae. The record is from RefSeq and is a predicted model, not a curated record.
UUUUUUUUUUUUUUUUUGAGACGGAGUCUCGCUCUGUUGCCCAGGCUGGAGUGCAGUGGCGCAAUCUCGGCUCACUGCAAGCUCCGCCUCCCAGGUUCAUUACAUUCUCCUGCCUCAGCCUCUCCAAGUAGCUGGGACUACAGGCGCCCGCCACCACACCUGGCUAAUUUUUUGUAUUUUUUUUUUUUUAAUAGAGACGGGGUUUCAUUGUGGUCUCGAUCUCCUGACCUCGUGAUCCGCCUGCCUCGGCCUCCCAAAGUGCUGGGAUUACAAGCGUGAGCCACCGCACCCGGCCAGAAUAAAUGUUUAAGAAAUAUUCAUUUGCCCCUGCUGGGCAAGAUGGCCAAAUAGGAACAGCUCUGGUCUGCCGCUCCCAGUGAGACCAACGCAGAAGGUCACUCGGGUGUCACUCACAAGGCCUCAUCAAAUGCACCCCAUGAGCGUGGAUGACUCCAGAGAAAACCUUCUGAGGGUUUCCAGAGACGCAUUUUUGCUCCUUUGGAGUAAUGGGAACAAGGGGUCACUCUGCUUCAUGAUAAGGCAGUGACCCCACAUGCGUGUGCAGGUGAAACUGCUUUCUCUCCAGCCAGGAUAAAAGAGGAGGCUCACAGCUCUCCACCCAGCACCAGCAGCUGGCGACAGGGCCACGCGUUUGUCAGGACAGGACCCACGACACAUGGUUGUGUCAAGAGCUCUCUGCCUUGCAUGUCUAAUCAUAACAGAAAAACACAAAUUCGGGGGAACAUUCUUCUGGUGUAUUUUUCCCACCCGUUCCACAGUUCUGGUUCAGGACCAUGGCGACCUGGGCACAGGACUCCUCCAUCCUCCACCUGCACCAUGGCAAAGCCAUCUCACGGUGAGCUUGCAAGAGAGUCUGGUGGGGGACAGAGAGGAGGAAGCCUGUCCCCAGCUGUUUUCUGCGGAACUCUGGAUACUUUCGUGUUCUGUAGAGAAUGAGGAUGAAGUUGACAAAAAAUCCGGAAAGGUUGCUGUGGAUGGGGCAAUGCAGGCCAUUCUCCCAGGGAGUUGGUCCCACUCUGACCAUCUUCCCUGCCCCACAAGGGAAUGGAGGGCCUCCGUGUAAGCAAACACCAUCGGGCUGUGCGUGUGUGAGACAAUGUGUGCCAAAUGCAAUCUCAUCAACCCAUCUGCCCUUCGACACCCGGGAGCUUGUCCAAGCAGAGAGAAAACACUCAUCCAGAGUUUAGCAAAUAAUGCCAUCAAUUGAAACAGGUUUACUUCCACUGAGAUGUCUUUAAAAGCAGAGUGAUUUUAAAAUAAUGGUUGGUUUUAAACUACUUAUUUAGGUGUCAUGAGUGCAUUUCAGUGGGAGUUUUUUUUGUUUUUUUUUUGAUUUUUGUUUUUUAAGACAGAGUCUCACACUGUCACCCAGGCUGGAGUGCAGGGAUGUGAUCUUGGCUCACUGAAACCUCCACCUCCCAGGUUCAAGCGAUUCUUGUGCCUCAACCUCCCAUGUAGCUAGGAUUACAGGCAUGCACCACCACAUUCUGCUAAUUUUUGUAUUUUGGACAGAGUUUUGCCAUGUGGUCCAGGCUGGUCUCAAACUCUGGACCUCAAGUGAUCCUCCUGCCUCAGCCUCCCAAAGUUCUGGGAUUACAGGCGUGAGACACUGCGUCCGGCCGGGACUGUUUUCAUAACAUCGUUGUGUUUUAAGAAAACUUUCAUGGCUUGUGACAAAUAGCAUGUAACUCAGUAAGUUUUGUGAACAAAGCUAUGUGAAAGGAUGAUAAAAUCUUGGGACCCCAGUGCACUCUGCCAAAAGGAAAAACUUAAACUGGAAGCUGAAUCAUGCAAGAAGUGGCCUUUCCUUUUGUUCCUAAGUAGAGGGCUAUGGAUAAAAGCAUCUCCACCAGUAGCUGCUCUCCAUAAAGUGCCAAGGUAAUGAGCUCAAAAGGGACACAUCAUGGGCCAACCCCCUGCCUGCUCUCUUUCUCUUGCAACAUGAUUCCAUGACAGGCCACACCCUCCCUCUUUCCCCUCCAGCCCACUUCUCCCCUUUACAGUUCAGAGCCCUCAAAAUCGUCUUUGGAUAAAGGCAGGGACUGGAUUCCAUAACGGGCCACACUCUCCCUCUUUCCCCUCCAGCCCACUUCUCCUCUUUACAAUUCAGAGCCCUCAAAAUCGUCUUUGGAUAAAGGCAGGGACUGGAUUCCAUAAUGGGCCACAUCCUCCCUCUUUCCCCUCCAACCCACUUUUCCUCUUUACUGUUCAGAGCCCUCAAAAUUAUCUUUGAAUAGAGGCAGGGACCACAGAUUGUUCCUGUGGUUUUGUGUUCCUCUUUUCAGGAAAUGUCCUUACCUUUGGCAAAAUAAAUUUCUAAACUAAUGAAGCCCUGUCUCAGACGCUUUCUGGUUCUCUCUAUGUAACCAGGACUGAGAUCAAAAACAGGACCCUGGCAACUCCCUCUGUGGAGCAGUUACCUGACCCCCGCGGGGACCACUAUCCUGACCCGGGUGCCAAUUGGCACUGCCCAGUUCUGAAUUCCAUGCACGUGGCCCCGGCAGGAGGCACCGGUGCCCUCCUUCCUUCCAGCAUCACGCCAGCAUCACACCCACAUCACGCCAGCCUCCCGCCAGCAUCAUGCCAGCAUCACACCCACACCACGCCAGCCUCCCACCAGCAUCACGCCAGCAUCACACCCACAUCACGCCAGCCUCUCGCCAGCAUCACGCCAGCAUCACGCCAGGCUCACCCUGUUGUGGCUGCACCUGAAGCUUGUUUACUGUUGCUGCCUUGUUGGAUUCUGUCCCAUGAACACACCACGGUUUAUUCAUCCAUUCUGUUGUCAAUGGGCAUUUGGACCGUCUUCAGUUUGGGGCAAUGAAUACACCUGCUGUGAACAUUCAGAUGCUCUUCUUGGGUGAAUUUACAUACACAUUUCUGUUGGGCAUGUGCUAGAGGCUGCAUCGCUGGGUCACUGCCUCCCUGAGUCCCCUGUGUCCAGCUGCAGGACCCCCUCACAUGCACCCCAGCUCCCACUGCUCCACAGUUAGGCCAUGAUUUGAUAUUUCUGCCUUUCUCAUCUUAGCCAUGCUGGUGCAGAACAGAAGUUCCUAAUGUUGGCAUAAAUCAAAUUUAUCUGUGUAAGUUUCUGGAGCCUCUAUUUGUUCCAUUGGUCCAUGUUUCUUUCAAGAGUCCCACCUUGUGUUAUUUACUGUAGCUUUAAAUUAAGGCACAAUACCCAAUAGUGAGAGUCCUCUGACUUUGCUCUUCCUCAAGAUUGUAUUAACUGUUAUUGACUCUUUGUGUGUUUUUAAUUUUUUUAUUAUAUUUUAAGUAUAAUAAAAUACUGGAGACCCGGG